GUGCUUAUACAUACAAUGGAAAUUCGGUCUGCAUAAAAUGUAUCGCAUAAGAAUGAGACACAAAUUUAAUGUAUCAAAUGGAAAUGGUAUGAAUGAAAAUUACUCUGCAUGCAAAUGCGCAGUUACGUUAGAGAAGGAAAGUAGCCGUAGGUCUUAGGUACGUUUUAUUUGCGGUUGCGCAAAAACAAAACAGCUGUUAUUGAUUGUUACUUACAUCGAACGUGUAAAUGGAUUAAUUAAUACGUUCAUCAAUUUUGAGAAGGCAAGGGAUUUAUUGGGUUAUUUUCUGUCGGUCACACGUGACCUUUACAGUUUUUACGUACAUAUUCGGAUUUGCACCUGCUGCGCAAUAUUGUUUAAUAUAAAGCAAGAAAAAGGCCGAUGGAAAUCGAAAGAUGUGCAAGAGGCGCCGGGUCCCCUUAACAAUAAAUUGGAGGUGUACGCUGUCGCUAUAAAAAUAGGUAAUCUCAAAUUUCACUUAUUCUUACCUGUAAUGCAAAUUGAGUGAACAGUUACAGGUUCGUGGGAAUUAAUAAUGGAUAAAGAGUCCAGAGAUAAACCGUUAAUGGAACGAAGCUCAUGUUCUACGACUCUUGUAAGGAACAAGCACAUCGACAAGUUGAUGCUCCUUCGUAAUGGAAAUUGUGUCGAGUUCAAUCGUGAUAUAUCUACUAACACGAUAAGUUAAAUAUGUAAUCUCCAUUGAAUGAGAGAUUUGUAUAUUUACAAGAUGCUAAUACAUGUACCUGUGUAGAAACACGAGCAUGUGAGACAUUGUUAGACACGUAUCUCGUUCUGUUUGAUGGGUGCACCGUAGUAUGUAAACGAUGACGUCGCUAACAAAGUUACACAAAGAUUGUCAAAAAAAAUUUGUAUCCUGAUAAUUAAACGAUUAUCCUAUUCGUCA
This is a long non-coding RNA of Photinus pyralis (common eastern firefly), 907 nucleotides long. RefSeq lists it as uncharacterized. The transcript has 2 exons. The record is from RefSeq and is a predicted model, not a curated record. NCBI's taxonomy places the organism in Eukaryota, Metazoa, Arthropoda, Insecta, Coleoptera, Lampyridae.